GACGAACGCUGGCGGCGUGCUUAACACAUGCAAGUCGAACGGAAAGGCCCUGCUUUUGUGGGGUGCUCGAGUGGCGAACGGGUGAGUAACACGGGAGUAACCUGCCCUGGACUUUGGGAUAACUUCAGGAAACUGGGGCUAAUACCGGAUAGGAGCUCCUGCUGCAUGGUGGGGGUUGGAAAGUUUGGGCGGUUGGGGAUGGACUCGCGGCUUAUCAGCGUGUUGGUGGGGUAGUGGCUUACCAAGGCUUUGACGGGUAGCCGGCCUGAGAGGGUGACCGGCCACAUUGGGACUGAGAUACGGCCCAGACUCCUACGGGAGGCAGCAGUGGGGAAUAUUGCCCAAUGGGCGGAAGCCUGAUGCAGCAACGCCGCGUGCGGGAUGACGGCCUUCGGGUUGUAAACCGCUUUCGCCUGUGACGAAGCGUGAGUGACGGUAAUGGGUAAAGAAGCACCGGCUAACUACGUG
RNAcentral lists this ribosomal RNA (468 nucleotides) under uncultured bacterium. RNAcentral's name for it is "partial 16S ribosomal RNA". It matches the Rfam family "Bacterial small subunit ribosomal RNA", at positions 28 to 507 of the family's 1533-position model. The record is from RNAcentral.